UUUGGGGAAUGAUGAUUAAACUGUGACAUAGGCUUCUGCUCUGCUGAAUUAUGUUUGCACGUCAGUCUGAUCCCAAA
This is a small nucleolar RNA of Malus domestica (apple), 77 nucleotides long. RefSeq annotates it as small nucleolar RNA Z122. NCBI's taxonomy places the organism in Eukaryota, Viridiplantae, Streptophyta, Magnoliopsida, Rosales, Rosaceae. The record is from RefSeq and is a predicted model, not a curated record.